UGCAGUCGUACGCUUCUUUUUCCACCGGAGCUUGCUCCACCGGAAAAAGAAGAGUGGCGAACGGGUGAGUAACACGUGGGUAACCUGCCCAUCAGAAGGGGAUAACACUUGGAAACAGGUGCUAAUACCGUAUAACAAUCGAAACCGCAUGGUUUUGAUUUGAAAGGCGCUUUCGGGUGUCGCUGAUGGAUGGACCCGCGGUGCAUUAGCUAGUUGGUGAGGUAACGGCUCACCAAGGCCACGAUGCAUAGCCGACCUGAGAGGGUGAUCGGCCACAUUGGGACUGAGACACGGCCCAAACUCCUACGGGAGGCAGCAGUAGGGAAUCUUCGGCAAUGGACGAAAGUCUGACCGAGCAACGCCGCGUGAGUGAAGAAGGUUUUCGGAUCGUAAAACUCUGUUGUUAGAGAAGAACAAGGAUGAGAGUAACUGUUCAUCCCUUGACGGUAUCUAACCAGAAAGCCACGGCUAACUACGUGCCAGCAGCCGCGGUAAUACGUAGGUGGCAAGCGUUGUCCGGAUUUAUUGGGCGUAAAGCGAGCGCAGGCGGUUUCUUAAGUCUGAUGUGAAAGCCCCCGGCUCAACCGGGGAGGGUCAUUGGAAACUGGGAGACUUGAGUGCAGAAGAGGAGAGUGGAAUUCCAUGUGUAGCGGUGAAAUGCGUAGAUAUAUGGAGGAACACCAGUGGCGAAGGCGGCUCUCUGGUCUGUAAAAAGCGUGGGGAGCAAACAGGAUUAGAUACCCUGGUAGUCCACGCCGUAAACGAUGAGUGCUAAGUGUUGGAGGGUUUCCGCCCUUCAGUGCUGCAGCUAACGCAUUAAGCAGGUCUUGGGAUUCAGUUGGGCACUCUAGCAAGACUGCCGGUUAUGACCUGGGCUACACACCUUGCU
This 889-nucleotide ribosomal RNA is filed under the name Enterococcus faecalis. RNAcentral's name for it is "bacterial SSU rRNA". It matches the Rfam family "Bacterial small subunit ribosomal RNA", at positions 56 to 873 of the family's 1533-position model. RNAcentral also lists the same sequence under 1 other name. The record is from RNAcentral. Lineage: Bacteria; Bacillati; Bacillota; Bacilli; Lactobacillales; Enterococcaceae.